RNAcentral lists this ribosomal RNA (465 nucleotides) under Vreelandella stevensii. Its description in RNAcentral is "partial 16S ribosomal RNA". It matches the Rfam family "Bacterial small subunit ribosomal RNA", at positions 338 to 795 of the family's 1533-position model. The record is from RNAcentral. Lineage: Bacteria; Pseudomonadati; Pseudomonadota; Gammaproteobacteria; Oceanospirillales; Halomonadaceae.
CCUACGGGGUGCUGCAGUGGGGAAUAUUGGACAAUGGGCGAAAGCCUGAUCCAGCCAUGCCGCGUGUGUGAAGAAGGCCUUCGGGUUGUAAAGCACUUUCAGUGGGGAAGAAAGCCUUGGGGCUAAUACCCUCGAGGAAGGACAUCACCCACAGAAGAAGCACCGGCUAACUCCGUGCCAGCAGCCGCGGUAAUACGGAGGGUGCGAGCGUUAAUCGGAAUUACUGGGCGUAAAGCGCGCGUAGGCGGUCUGAUAAGCCGGUUGUGAAAGCCCCGGGCUCACCCUGGGAACGGCAUCCGGAACUGUCAGGCUAGAGUGCAGGAGAGGAAGGUAGAAUUCCCGGUGUAGCGGUGAAAUGCGUAGAGAUCGGGAGGAAUACCAGUGGCGAAGGCGGCCUUCUGGACUGACACUGACGCUGAGGUGCGAAAGCGUGGGUAGCAAACAGGAUUACAUACCCUAGUAGUC